AACUCCAGUGAUUCUCUUCAGGAACACUGUUGAAACCUAUGACCCAGAACUUUCCAAAAGAAGAAAAAGUGAGGAUCAUUAUCUAGCUUCACGUAAACAAAAUGGGGAAGCCAAUGGAUCCUCCAAAAUGUAUGCAGAGAGAGAUUAUAAAGAGAAAUCUAAACAACAGAGUCACUCCUCUAAGAGCAAGGAACAGUUUAAUGAAACAGAUGGAUCUCCAAAACUGAAGAUGAAAGAAAAGAGAGACAAAUCAUAUCCUU
Molecule: long non-coding RNA, 260 nt
Organism: Biomphalaria glabrata
Lineage: Eukaryota; Metazoa; Mollusca; Gastropoda; Planorbidae
Exons: 3
Source: RefSeq, a predicted model, not a curated record